CUUGCUUAAGAUUAAUAGCAUCUCAUACAUAAUUCAGCUGUAGGAGCUAGCUCUGUGGCAAUCCCUGGACCACCUGGACCCCCUGGACCAUCUGGACCCGCUGGUCCUCCAGGACUGUCAGGUCCUGUUGGUCCUGCUGGCCAUCCUGGCCAACCUGGUCCUAAAGGUGAUAAAGGGGAACAAGGAGAAGCUGGAAUCAUAAUGGAAACCCGAGAGUCUAGAACUGCCAGUAAAAAUUUUAAUUCCCUUAAAUGA
This is a long non-coding RNA of Pygocentrus nattereri (red-bellied piranha), 255 nucleotides long. The record is from Ensembl. NCBI's taxonomy places the organism in Eukaryota, Metazoa, Chordata, Actinopteri, Characiformes, Serrasalmidae.